GACGAACGCUGGCGGCGUGCUUAACACAUGCAAGUCGAACGGUAAGGCCCUUCGGGGUACACGAGUGGCGAACGGGUGAGUAACACGUGGGUGAUCUGCCCUGCACUCUGGGAUAAGCCUGGGAAACUGGGUCUAAUACCGGAUAUGAGCUCCUGUCGCAUGGCGGGGGUUGGAAAGGUUUACUGGUGCAGGAUGGGCCCGCGGCCUAUCAGCUUGUUGGUGGGGUAAUGGCCUACCAAGGCGACGACGGGUAGCCGGCCUGAGAGGGCGACCGGCCACACUGGGACUGAGACACGGCCCAGACUCCUACGGGAGGCAGCAGUGGGGAAUAUUGCACAAUGGGCGAAAGCCUGAUGCAGCGACGCCGCGUGAGGGAUGACGGCCUUCGGGUUGUAAACCUCUUUCAGCAGGGACGAAGCGAGAGUGACGGUACCUGCAGAAGAAGCACCGGCCAACUACGUGCCAGCAGCCGCCGUAA
RNAcentral lists this ribosomal RNA (478 nucleotides) under uncultured bacterium. RNAcentral's name for it is "partial 16S ribosomal RNA". It matches the Rfam family "Bacterial small subunit ribosomal RNA", at positions 28 to 523 of the family's 1533-position model. The record is from RNAcentral.